AGGGGUUGCCCUUGGUGAAUUCGCUUUAUUUAUGUUGAAUCACGCAAAGGCAACUUCUGU
Molecule: microRNA precursor, 60 nt
Filed under: Dasypus novemcinctus (nine-banded armadillo)
Lineage: Eukaryota; Metazoa; Chordata; Mammalia; Cingulata; Dasypodidae
Source: RNAcentral